Molecule: ribosomal RNA, 253 nt
Filed under: uncultured bacterium
Lineage: Bacteria
Description: partial 16S ribosomal RNA
Rfam family: Bacterial small subunit ribosomal RNA
Source: RNAcentral
UACGUAGGGUGCGAGCGUUAAGCGGAAUUACUGGGCGUAAAGCGUGCGAAGGCGGUUCGCUAAGACCGAUGUGAAAUCCCCGGGCUUAACCUGGGAACUGCAUUGGUGACUGGCGGGCUAGAGUAUGGCAGAGGGGGGUAGAAUUCCACGUGUAGCAGUGAAAUGCGUAGAGAUGUGGAGGAAUACCGAUGGCGAAGGCAGCCCCCUGGGCCAAUACUGACGCUCAUGCACGAAAGCGUGGGGAGCAAACAGG